GGGGAUGUAAAGGUUUCGACGGGGAUCUCGAAGUCCAGGUAGCGGGUAGAGGAGCAUGCACCUCUAUAAAAGUAUGACGUUUUUAAAUUAGACGACAACGAUAAUUUAGCUUUUGCGGCUUAAUUAAGCCGCCGUUCCGCUGCGGAGUACCACGGCCGCGGACGGAGCGUCGAUGAGUGGUGAACGAUCGGUCCAAGCGCCUCGUAGGACAUGAUUGUAUUGGGGGCUACCAAACUGCAUAGCCUGUCGGACGGCGAUGCAGCGCGGGAAGUUUAAAAGACCGACUGCACCCGGAGAAGCUUGGGUGGACUGGUUUUCGGACAGGGGUUCGAUUCCCCUCAUCUCCACCA
Anaerotruncus colihominis DSM 17241 is the source of this 350-nucleotide non-coding RNA. The record is from Rfam. Lineage: Bacteria; Bacillati; Bacillota; Clostridia; Eubacteriales; Oscillospiraceae.